This 651-nucleotide long non-coding RNA is filed under the name Phoenix dactylifera (date palm). RNAcentral's name for it is "long non-coding RNA (PDAC_LNC000260)". Lineage: Eukaryota; Viridiplantae; Streptophyta; Magnoliopsida; Arecales; Arecaceae. The record is from RNAcentral.
GAGAUCUUUAUUUUAAAUCCAUAUAUGCCCAUUUUCACGUUAAAAUAGAGCAAGAAAAAGAGUUUUUUCCCCAAAUGCUGAAAACACUGUUCAUAUGAACUGUUCCAAGAUGACACUGUUCAUAUGAACAGUGUUCCGUGAAAACACUGUUCAAAUGAACACUGUUAAAAAAAACAAAUUCCUUCCACUGUUUAUCUUCUUCCUCCCUGCAAGCAUCACGGCAUCCUCCCGACGAUCCCGCGACCAGAUCCUCCGGCCCUUCUUCCGCCCGUGACGCAUCCGGAGCCAAUCCCAUCUUCCUGCGAUCCGGCCUCCACCGAGAGCUCGUGAUCCAUUUCUUCCACCAUCUCAAAGCCUAUGAUUCAGCCUUCACCGCGUCCAUGCCACGCCCAUUAAGCCGUAAUCGGCUCCUCCCAGCUCCAUUCCGUCGAUCCUGCGUUCAUCUCCUCUUCUUCCAUCCGCACGUCAACAUCCCGUCGAUCCAGCGGCCCGCUCCAUUGAUCCGGCCAUCUGCAACCAAUCCGGCGCUCCACGGAUCACGCCUUCCUCUCGAGAUCCAGCCAUUUGAUGCCCUCCAUCCUCUUCGUCCGCGAUCUGCCCUCCAGCAUCACGCCCUAGGAAUCAGCAGCCCGUGAUCAUUUCUCCCUUNNN